This is a long non-coding RNA of Solenopsis invicta (red fire ant), 5392 nucleotides long. RefSeq lists it as uncharacterized. Lineage: Eukaryota; Metazoa; Arthropoda; Insecta; Hymenoptera; Formicidae. The record is from RefSeq and is a predicted model, not a curated record. The transcript has 2 exons.
AUACGUUAUAAUCCGGCGUGCGAGCGAGAAAGAGAUAUAAUUUACUUGUGUAACGAUGCUAUCGUUACAGCAUAAUUUAGCAUUUAUAGCAUUUAUAUCAUUUAUGUUAAUAGCUUUUUCGACUGCAGUGGGUUUUAACCCAGGUUCGUUACCAUUUGUCGGGAUCGUUCAAUUGGAACGGACGAUCGUCCAUUCUAAUUGAACGAUUCCGGCAAACGGCAAUAAACCUGGGUUAAAAACCACUGCAGUCAAAAACGCUAUAAGAUUCAUAUUAUACAUAAUUCGCGCCUCGUAGCGCAUAGCGCUCUAGUAUAACAUCAUGUUUCAGUCUCGUGACAAAAAACAUUUGAUUCUUGAAACUCGUCGAGACAAGUCUUCAGUUCACUAGAUUUUCUUUCUUGUUGAGAAGUGCAUACAUAAUCGAAAUAAUGAAUAAUGAAAUUGUUGAAAACACAUGUGCCUCUCAAAUGGAUAACAUUGAUCUUCCGGAAAAAAAUAAUCUAUUAGCAACAUGUAAUACAGAUUGUGGAUAUAUCAACGAUAUUCAACAACAACAACAAUGCAGCGCUUUAUUAGUAGAGCCUACUGACGUCAUUCAUCAAGGUAUACAAUUACCUUUCAACGAUAGUGUUGUACAAGAAAUAGGCAAGAUAAAUAAGAAAAGAAAUGCUGCUAUUGAUGAUGAACUAUUGAAUGUAAAACAAAUGCGAAGAAAUGAUCCCAAUAAUUCUUUAGAGAGACAAGGUAUGUAAGAGAUAUUAAUUAUUUAAUAAACCUUUUUAGUGUGGCCUUAAAGAAAUGUGUAUAUAUUUUAAUAUCUUGUUUGUUUAUCAUAUCAUUUGCAAAGAAAAGUAGAGUUUUUUAAUAUAAACAUUGUAAUUAUUGAAUAGACUUUCGUGUAAUAAUAAACUAUUAUGAUAUUCAGUUAUUUUUGUUUCAGUUAUUUUAUUCAGUUAUUUUUGUAAUUCCUCGGGCUGCUAAUAUAUUUAAUUAUAAUUGUAGAUGAAUCUGACGAAUCUACAACUGAUAUGAAGACGAUAAGAGAAUCUCUACGGUAUAUAUUUAACGAAAACGUUAAGUUAUUUUUACAUACAGGGUUGGGUAAACUUCCGAAAACGAUCAAAUAUCUCGAAAAAGAUCAACUAUAGCAAAAAAUAUUUUGAAAGCUGUUAUACUAACAAUUCUAUUGAAAAUACAUGGAAAUGUAACGAAUUACCGAAAUUGCCUUGCAUUCUACCAAUAACAUUUGAAGAUUUUACAAAAUUAGAACAAUAUCUUUACAAUGAAAACAAUUUAGGUUUUUUGGUAAAAUAAGCAUUCGUAAAAUUAAAAAUGUAAAAAUUAGAACAGCUUAUAAUUAUAAUAAAGUUUUUUCUAGGCAAAUUAUUUGUCAACAAUUGGAAGCUGUGGAGACAUUACAUCAAUAACAAAUAACAUACUUCAUAGCCUUUUAUCAAAUCAAAUUGCAUCGUUGUACAGUUUUUAUGGAAAGCGGAAUAAUAAAAGGUCCUUUGUGCUACUAAAGGUCAAUAGUGUGGUGACUUCAUCAGUUCUUAAGGGACUACCCGGUUUUACGAACAUCAAGUACACGAAUGCAUUAAGGUAUGGCUAAAACGCUCCACAACGCUCUGUUAUAAAAAAGAAGAAGCAGUAGCACAUUAUUGAACGAACCUAUAUCUGAAGAGCAUUCUCUAUAAUUCCACAACUGUUAUCAAACUAUUGUAAUAUUUAUUGUAAUAUUUAUGAAGAGAAAUUAGAAUUAAAAUUUAAUUGUGAUUUUUUAAAUAAUAAGUAAUAACUAAUAAUAUUAAUGUAUAUUAUUACCUAUGAUAAUGCUUAAUGUGUCAAUGAUAUUAAAUGUAUGAUAGUCAUGAAGAGAAUGGAGCAAAUGCUAAAUUUCUUUAAGGGGGCAUAUACCAUAUACCUAGGAGGCCAAAAAAUGGCAAUUUCUUGGAAUUUUUGUUGGAAACUGAUGAAAUUACCGAACUGUGGGUUUUUUUGAAAAUAUACAUUUUGAAGAAACUUUAUAAUUUUUUUUAUUAAAAAAUUGCGCAAAAUCGAAGAUACGAUGUCGCGAAGAGGCAGCCUUGAAAAAAUCUCUUAAAACGGUACCAAGUGUACCUUCAUCAAAAAUCAAUUGAAACAAAAAAUGUUUAAAUAUAUAAUAAUAGAAAGUUAAAAUAUAUAAUAAUAUCUUUGGCGCAUUGUAUUCAAUUUCAAAAAUAUCAUUUUUUGACAAUGUGGUGGGUGUUAAAAUUUAGCACUUUGCACUCCUAUGUCGAAUGUGACUCGACAUCAGUUUUUAUCUCAGGAGCUCCUUUGUUGAAUCUCACUUGACAUUUUUUUGCCUUAUUUUUAAAUUGCCCUAUUUUUUAGUUGAAGUAAAUUUUAAAUAAAACACUUAAAAGCCUUGGGAGCUGGUGGUAACAAAAUUAAAAUAUAAUUUGGAAUGCAAAAGGUUAACGUUGCGAUUUUUAAGACAAAAUCCAUUCAUUUUGUUUCCUCGCCCUCCCCCCCCCUCUAAAAAAUUCAUGAGGUCUAAAAAAAUCCUUACAAUACGCGAUAGAUAAUUAUGUGUAGAAUAGUCACUAGAAAUUUCAAGCAAAUCGGUUCAGUGGUUGUUGAGAUAUUUCUGAUACCAGUUUGAAAAAUUUUGUUUCGAGAAAAAUGCGUUUGAAUAUUCAACAUGUGUUUUUGUUAAUAAAACAUAAAAUUUGUUUAACUUACACAGAGUCGUCAAUUCUAGGCCCAUAAUACAAGUUCUCUGCAGUAGAUGCACAUAUCGUCUAAAUUUUGUUGUCGGCGACAUAUUCGCGCUUCUUUUGUCUGUUCCUGCGUAUAUACCUCGACUUGCGUUAUGCGGCGAUCAUCUUCGCGCGCAGCAUAUUGGUGUGCAUUCGGUCCUCGAGAAAUGCCCAUAAUGCUCAUUAUUCGUAAUAUUGAAGUUAUAUCAUCGUUGAACAUGCAAGCAGCUAUGUAUGCAGCAAUUUCUACUGUAAUAGCACCGCUGUGCGUUUUUAAAGCUAUUUUCCAAAUUAUACUGUUAAAACUUUUAUUGCUAUUCUGUUGUGAGUAUAGUCACCAACACAGCGCUCCAAUAAUGCGUCUUUGAGAUAUUAGACACGAAGUAUUAGACACGAAACCAAAGGGACGGGCCGUGGUCAAACCAUAAUAUCUCAACAGCGCGCGGCGCGGUGCAGCGUGCCAAUAUGCUAUCAGUCAUAUGAUAAAACUAUAAUAUGUUAUUUUUCGGAAUUUUGACUUGAAAUUUUCACCAGACAUUCUCGAAAAAUUGUAAAAUUGUAAUAUGUAAUACGCCGCGGGCCUGAUAGUUUAUUAAUACAUACAAGGCAUUGCAGUUCUGUCCUGUUGUUUGGUUGCUAGGCAACCGAUCAUCAGUGAGUCGCUCUUUCCGUUUUAAAAGGACUAACACGUACAAUUAAUCUUUACGUUUAAAUGCCCAAAAAUGUAUUUUAAAUAAAAUAAUUAAAGAAUCUCACAAUAUUAAACAUUAUAAAUAUGUAAUAAUCCAAAAAUUGAUUUUUUUGACCUUGCUAGGUAUAUAUGCCCCCUUAAGAUGCCCAAAGUUUCAUAUUAACAUUUUUAAAUACGACAAUGAAUUACAUGAUAUUAAUAAAUAUAUCAUGCAAACAAGAAGUAUGAGAUUACUGUUAACAGGCAAAGGAUUAAAACAGAUAUUGAUAUUUCAGGAUCUAAAAUUCUUCUAGGUCUAAUAAGAAAAGGAAGAUAUACAUGUGAAUCAUACUUCUAUUACUUCAUUUAUCCAACGGAGUCGAAAUUAGUAAGUUGAACUCAUAAUGGGAGAUAUAUCUAGCUAUUAUAUCUGAUUUAGUUGAAACAGUGCAGAUAACUUCCGUAACAUUAGCAAAGAUGUUAGAUAAGUGGAGAUAAGAGGAGCGAGAGAGAAGUAUGUCAGAGCAAUUCAUGUAACAGGCGAACUCGAUGGCCGUCAUUCCUGUCGAAUCACUGAAGCCAACGGAAGCGAAUUCUCCGGUGGCUGAUGUAACAUCGUGGAGACCCACUGACACGCAUCAAACGAUAAUGCUUAUCCUGAGACAGAUUAUGCGGAGAAAUGUUUUUUCAAUUUAAAUUCCUGCUUUGCGACACAGGAAGUUGCAAUCUUCUAAAUUCGUAAGACUUCCACGAAAAUAACGUCACCAAAGAAGUAUCGCAUACAGACACAAAACUAAUUAUGUGGACACAGAAUUGUUGCACGUUUAUUUUAUGCUACUCACUGAAUAUUUUAUAUUAUAUUCAUUAAAUAUUUACGUUAUUUUAUGCGAAUUCACUAAAUAUGUAUUAUAAUUUUUAAGAAUAACUCUCGAGUGAAAGUGAUAACCUUUACCAGUGAUACAUUUCCGUCUCUCAAAAGCAAACUUGUAUUGAAACUAAAAACAUUCAAAUCACAUUUAAUAGUAUUUAAUCGCAAAUUUUAUGAGAAAGUAGCAUUAAAUAAAAUUUUUUACGCUAAUACUAAUAAAACUAAUAAUACUAAUAAUACUAAUAAAUAUGCGUACUAAAGUUCACCAUUUUGAUUCAUUUACACGUUUAAAAGUUAUUUAACUAAAACUGCAACAAAGUAUCAUUUUCUCCAUAUAAGCCAUUUUAAGCUUUUACUAGUUUUUCUUUGCAGUUGGUUUGUAGGACCAAAAUUCGGGUAUUUAUGAUCAAAAUUUUUAUUAUUGAUUAGAGAAAGAAAGAAUAAAUUUUAGAAGCAAUUUUUUAAUUUUGAUAAAUUCUAGCUAAUAUUGUAGCUAAAACAUUCUUAAAUAAACAAGAUAAUCUUUCUUAUAUGUGUACACGAAACUAAUUGGCAGGAUACACAAGAUAUUAGGAGAUUGUUUUAUGCUACAAAUUAAGAACUCACGAGGGAACCAUACAAAGUUGAUACAUGAAUUUCGUGAAAAAAAUAUCCGCAUCUAGAUCUGUUUAAACACAUGUGACAGGUUUAAUUUUUCGCAAGCCCAUAAAAAAAAUUGGAAGAUUGAAAGUUAGCGCGCGCGUAGUAGGUCCACUAUAUUGUUGACUUUUUUUAUUUUGUUGACUGAGCAGAAUAGGCUGUAAUGUAUAUAAAGCACGGAUUACAGAAAUUAUUGUUAUACAUGAUGUUUUAUUAAUGUCAACUUUGCUGUUGAAUGUACGAAUGUUUAUGAAUUACGUAGUAAUUUAAUAAUUAAUAACUAUACUUUUCAUGAUUAAAACAACUAUAAUUAUGUAGUUAGCACGAAAAAUGACUAUUAAUUAUAGUUAAAUUAUAAUAAUUGCAUUUUUUUCUUUCACUGGACAUCUCGAACGUAAGUUUACAAAACGGCGAUAGCUUUAUUGCUCUAUGCAUUGCGUACUGACAAAUGUCAAGGUUCUGUUAUAAAAA